CCUACGGGAGGCAGCAGUCGAGAAUCAUUCACAAUGGGGGAAACCCUGAUGGUGCGACGCCGCGUGGGGGAAUGACGUUCUUCGGAUUGUAAACCCCUGUCAUGUGGGGGCAAAUUACAAAGCUCGUACCACAAGAGGUAGAUACUGCUAACUCUGUGCCAGCGGCCGCGGUAAUACAGAGGUCUCAAGCGUUGUUCGUAAUCACUGGGCGUAAGGCGUGCGUAGGCUGGUUCGUACGUCGGGUGUGAAAGGCGGGGGCUCAACCCGCGGACGGCACAUGAUACUGGGAGACUAGGGUAAGGUAGAGGGAAAGGGAAUUCUUGGUGGAGCAGUGAAAUGCUUAGAUAUCGAGAGGAACAUCGGUGGCGAAGGCGGGUUACUGGACCGUAAUUGACGCUGAGGAACGAAGGCCAGGGGAGCGAAUGGGAUUAGAUACCCCUGUAGUC
RNAcentral lists this ribosomal RNA (446 nucleotides) under uncultured bacterium. RNAcentral's name for it is "partial 16S ribosomal RNA". It matches the Rfam family "Bacterial small subunit ribosomal RNA", at positions 338 to 795 of the family's 1533-position model. The record is from RNAcentral.